AGUGUUUGAUCCUGGCUCAGGAUGAACGCUGGCGGCGUGCCUAAUACAUGCAAGUCGAACGGAGAAUGUAGCAAUACGUUCUUAGUGGCGAACGGGUGAGUAACGCGUUGGUGACCUGCCCCAAAGUGUGGGAUAACAGUUCGAAAGGACUGAUAAUACCGCAUGUGGUCAUCGGGUUUAGAAACCGGUGAUUAAAGGAGAAAUCCGCUAUGGGAGGGACCUGCGUCCCAUCAGCUAGUUGGUAGGGUAACGGCCUACCAAGGCGAUGACGGGUAGGGGACCUGAGAGGGUGGCCCCCCACAAUGGAACUGAAACACGGUCCAUACACCUACGGGUGGCAGCAGUAGGGAAUAUUGGUUAAUGGGCGAAAGCCUGAACCAGCAACGCCGCGUGUGCGAUGAAGGCCUUCGGGUCGUAAAGCACUUUUGAUAGGGACGAGGAAGGACGGUACCUAUCGAAUAAGCCUCGGCUAACUACGUGCCAGCAGCCGCGGUAAAACGUAGGAGGCGAGCGUUAUCCGGAUUUACUGGGCGUAAAGCGCGUGCAGGUGGUUUGGUAAGUUGGAUGUGAAAGCUCCUGGCUUAACUGGGAGAGGUCGUUCAAAACUACCAGACUUGAGGAUGGGAGAGGGAGGCGGAAUUCCGGGUGUAGUGGUGAAAUGCGUAGAUAUCCGGAGGAACACCAGUGGCGAAAGCGGCCUCCUGGCCCAUCUCUGACACUCAGACGCGAAAGCUAGGGUAGCAAACGGGAUUAGAGACCCCGGUAGUCCUAGCCGUAAACGAUGCAGACUUGGCGUCGGC
Molecule: ribosomal RNA, 800 nt
Filed under: uncultured bacterium
Lineage: Bacteria
Description: bacterial SSU rRNA
Rfam family: Bacterial small subunit ribosomal RNA
Source: RNAcentral